UACAGAGGGGGCAAGCGUUGUUCGGAAUUACUGGGCGUAGAGGGCGCGUAGGCGGCCUUCUAAGUCGAACGUGAAAUCCCCGGGCUCAACCCGGGAACUGCGUCCGAUACUGAAAGGCUUGAAUCCGGGAGAGGGAUGUGGAAUUCCAGGUGUAGCGGUGAAAUGCGUAGAUAUCAGGAGGAACACCGAUGGCGAAGGCAGGUCUCUGGGCUGACACUGACGCUCAUGCACGAAAGCGUGGGGAGCAAACAGG
Molecule: ribosomal RNA, 253 nt
Filed under: uncultured bacterium
Lineage: Bacteria
Description: partial 16S ribosomal RNA
Rfam family: Bacterial small subunit ribosomal RNA
Source: RNAcentral